RNAcentral lists this ribosomal RNA (1366 nucleotides) under uncultured bacterium. Its description in RNAcentral is "bacterial SSU rRNA". It matches the Rfam family "Bacterial small subunit ribosomal RNA", at positions 28 to 1381 of the family's 1533-position model. The record is from RNAcentral.
AUUGAACGCUGGCGGCAGGCCUAACACAUGCAAGUUCGAACGGUAACAGGAAGCAGCUUGCCGCUUCGCUGACGAGUGGCGGACGGGUGAGUAAUGUCUGGGAAACUGCCUGAAGGAGGGGGUAUAACUACUGGAAACGGUAGCUAAUACCGCAUAAUGUCGCAAGACCAAAGAGGGGGACCUUCGGGCCUCUUGCCAUCGGAUGUGCCCAGAUGGGAUUAGCUUGUUGGUGGGGUAACGGCUCACCAAGGCGACGAUUCCCCAGCUGGUCUGAGAGGAUGACCAGCCACACUGGAACUGAGACACGGUCCAGACUCCUACGGGAGGCAGCAGUGGGGAAUAUUGCACAAUGGGCGCAAGCCUGAUGCAGCCAUGCCGCGUGUAUGAAGAAGGCCUUCGGGUUGUAAAGUACUUUCAGCGGGGAGGAAGGGAGUAAAGUUAAUACCUUUGCUCAUUGACGUUACCCGCAGAAGAAGCACCGGCUAACUCCGUGCCAGCAGCCGCGGUAAUACGGAGGGUGCAAGCGUUAAUCGGAAUUACUGGGCGUAAAGCGCACGCAGGCGGUUUGUUAAGUCAGAUGUGAAAUCCCCGGGCUCAACCUGGGAACUGCAUCUGAUACUGGCAAGCUUGAGUCUCGUAGAGGGGGGUAGAAUUCCAGGUGUAGCGGUGAAAUGCGUAGAGAUCUGGAGGAAUACCGAUGGCGAAGGCGGCCCCCUGGACGAAGACUGACGCUCAGGUGCGAAAGCGUGGGGAGCAAACAGGAUUAGAUACCCUGGUAGUCCACGCCGUAAACGAUGUCGACUUGGAGGUUGUGCCCUUGAGGCGUGGCUUCCGGAGCUAACGCGUUAAGUCGACCGUCUGGGGAGUACGGCCGCAAGGUUAAAACUCAAAUGAAUUGACGGGGGCCCGCACAAGCGGUGGAGCAUGUGGUUUAAUUCGAUGCAACGCGAAGAACCUUACCUGGUCUUGACAUCCACGGAAGUUUUCAGAGAUGAGAAUGUGCCUUCGGGAACCGUGAGACAGGUGCUGCAUGGCUGUCGUCAGCUCGUGUUGUGAAAUGUUGGGUUAAGUCCCGCAACGAGCGCAACCCUUAUCCUUUGUUGCCAGCGGUCCGGCCGGGAACUCAAAGGAGACUGCCAGUGAUAAACUGGAGGAAGGUGGGGAUGGCGUCAAGUCAUCAUGGCCCUUACGACCAGGGCUACACACGUGCUACAAUGGCGCAUACAAAGAGAAGCGACCUCGCGAGAGCAAGCGGACCUCAUAAAGUGCGUCGUAGUCCGGAUUGGAGUCUGCAACUCGACUCCAUGAAGUCGGAAUCGCUAGUAAUCGUGGAUCAGAAUGCCACGGUGAAUACGUUCCCGGGCCU